AGCGAACGCUGGCGGCGUGCUUAACACAUGCAAGUCGAGCGGUAAGGCCCUUUCGGGGGUACACGAGCGGCGAACGGGUGAGUAACACGUGGGUGACCUGCCUUUAGCUCUGGGAUAAGCCUGGGAAACUGGGUCUAAUACCGGAUACGACUCCGCGGUGCAUGCUGUGGGGUGGAAAGCCUUGUGCGGCUGGAGAUGGGCCCGCGGCCUAUCAGCUUGUUGGUGGGGUGAUGGCCACCAAGGCGACGACGGGUAGCCGGCCUGAGAGGGCGACCGGCCACACUGGGACUGAGAUACGGCCCAGACUCCUACGGGAGGCAGCAGUGGGAAUCUUGCGCAAUGGGCGAAAGCCUGACGCAGCGACGCCGCGUGAGGGAUGACGGCCU
This 386-nucleotide ribosomal RNA is filed under the name uncultured bacterium. Its description in RNAcentral is "bacterial SSU rRNA". It matches the Rfam family "Bacterial small subunit ribosomal RNA", at positions 28 to 417 of the family's 1533-position model. The record is from RNAcentral.